GGNNNUAGNCGUCUGUANCCUGGUGUGUAGGCUACGCUUACCGUAGUUUGCGCUGGGAACUGCUGGACUAGAGUUCAGAAGGGGAGAUAGAAUUCCUGGUGUAGGGUGAAAUCUGUAGAUAUCAGGAAGAAUACCGGUGGCGAAGGCGAUCUCCUGGUCUUGGACUGACGCUGAGGCGCGAAAGCGUGGGGAGCGAACAGGAUUAGAUACCCUGGUANUCACGCUGUAACGAUGUGCACUAGGUGUUGGGGCGCUGAAGCCUCGGUGCCGAAGCAAACGCGAUAAGUGCACCGCCUGGGGAGUAUGCUCGCAAGGGUGAAACUCAAAGGAAUUGACGGGGGCCCGCACAAGCGGUGGAGCAUGUGGUUUAAUUCGAUGAUACGCGAGGAACCUUACCAGGGCUUGACAUAUACCGGGAGUCGUGGGAGACCACGGUGCCUCUUUGAGGCCGGUAUACAGGUGCUGCAUGGCUGUCGUCAGCUCGUGCUGUGAAGUGUUGGGUUAAGUCCCGCAACGAGCGCAACCCCUGCUGUCUGUUACCAUCAGGUCGUGCUGGGGACUCAGACGGAACUGCCGGUGACAAACCGGAGGAAGGUGGGGAUGACGUCAAGUCAUCAUGGCCCUUAUGUCCUGGGCUACACACGUGCUACAAUGGCCGGUACAGAGUGAAGCGAAACCGCGAGGUGGAGCAAAUCACAGAAAGCCGGUCUCAGUUCGGAUCGGAGUCUGAAACCCGACUUCGUGAAGUUGGAAUCGCUAGUAAUCGCGCAUCAGCAUGGCGCGGUGAAUACGUUCCCGGGCCUUGUACACACCGCCCGUCACACCACCCGAGUUGGGGGUACCCGAAGCCGCUAGCCUAACCGGUUACGGCGGGCGACGCCGAAGGUAUGCCAUGGUAAGGGGGGUGAAGUCGUAACAAGGUACCAAGGGAAUNNGNG
RNAcentral lists this ribosomal RNA (938 nucleotides) under uncultured bacterium. RNAcentral describes it as "bacterial SSU rRNA". It matches the Rfam family "Bacterial small subunit ribosomal RNA", at positions 568 to 1533 of the family's 1533-position model. The record is from RNAcentral.